GAUGCGGGAGUGCCGCAAGGAACGACAAGACAGGUGCUGCAUGGCUGUCGUCAGCUCGUGUCGUGAGAUGUUGGGUUAAGUCCCGCAACGAGCACAACCCUUGUCCUUAGUUGCCAGCACGUAAUGGUGGGAACUCUAAGGAGACUGCCGGUGACAAACCGGAGGAAGGUGGGGAUGACGUCAAGUCCUCAUGGCCCUUACGGCCAGGGCUACACACGUACUACAAUGGUCGGUACAGAGGGUCGCGAAGCCGCAAGGUGGAGCCAAUCCCAGAAAACCGAUCCCAGUCCGGAUUGGAGUCUGCAACUCGACUCCAUGAAGUCGGAAUCGCUAGUAAUCGUGGAUCAGCUACGCCACGGUGAAUACGUUCCCGGGCCUUGUACACACCGCCCGUCACACCAUGGGAGUUGGCUUUACCUGAAGACGGUGCGCUAACCGCAAGGAGGCAGCCGGCCACGGUAGGGUCAGCGACUGGGGUGAAGUCGUAACAAGGUAGCCGUAA
This 502-nucleotide ribosomal RNA is filed under the name uncultured Lysobacteraceae bacterium. RNAcentral's name for it is "bacterial SSU rRNA". It matches the Rfam family "Bacterial small subunit ribosomal RNA", at positions 1005 to 1505 of the family's 1533-position model. Lineage: Bacteria; Pseudomonadati; Pseudomonadota; Gammaproteobacteria; Lysobacterales; Lysobacteraceae. The record is from RNAcentral.